GCCGGGCGCCAGGGCUCACACCUGUAAUCCCAGUGACUCAGGAGGCUGAGGCAGGAGGAUCACAAAUUCAAAGCCAGCCUCAGCAACUUAGUGAGGCCCUAAGCAAUUUAGUGAGACCUUGUCUCAA
This 127-nucleotide small RNA is filed under the name Marmota monax (woodchuck). The record is from RNAcentral. Lineage: Eukaryota; Metazoa; Chordata; Mammalia; Rodentia; Sciuridae.